RNAcentral lists this ribosomal RNA (253 nucleotides) under uncultured bacterium. Its description in RNAcentral is "partial 16S ribosomal RNA". It matches the Rfam family "Bacterial small subunit ribosomal RNA", at positions 524 to 776 of the family's 1533-position model. The record is from RNAcentral.
UACGGAGGGUGCAAGCGUUGCUCGGAAUUAUUGGGCGUAAAGGGUAGGUAGGUGGUCUCGUUUGUCUGGGGUGAAAUCCUUGAGCUUAACUCAAGAAGUGCCUCAGAAACGGCGAGACUAGAGUUCUGGAGAGGGUCGUGGAAUUCCCGGUGUAGCGGUGAAAUGCGCAGAUAUCGGGAGGAACACCGGUGGCGAAGGCGGUUCUCUGGGCCUGUACUGACGCUGAGGAGCGAAAGCGUGGGGAGCGAACAGG